UACGUAGGGUGCAAGCGUUGUCCGGAAUUAUUGGGCGUAAAGCGCGUGUAGGCGGCCAGAAAAGUCCGCUGUGAAAACUCGAGGCUCAACUUCGAGCUGUCGGUGGAAACUUUCUGGCUAGAGUCCGGAAGAGGAGAAUGGAAUUCCUGGUGUAGCGGUGAAAUGCGCAGAUAUCAGGAAGAACACCCGUGGCGAAGGCGGUUCUCUGGGACGGUACUGACGCUGAGACGCGAAAGCGUGGGGAGCGAACAGG
RNAcentral lists this ribosomal RNA (253 nucleotides) under uncultured bacterium. RNAcentral describes it as "partial 16S ribosomal RNA". It matches the Rfam family "Bacterial small subunit ribosomal RNA", at positions 524 to 776 of the family's 1533-position model. The record is from RNAcentral.